GGGUCAUUGGAAACUGGAAAACUUGAGUGCAGAAGAGGAAAGUGGAAUUCCAUGUGUAGCGGUGAAAUGCGCAGAGAUAUGGAGGAACACCAGUGGCGAAGGCGACUUUCUGGUCUGCAACUGACGCUGAUGUGCGAAAGGCGUGGGGAUCAAGCAGGAUAAAAUACCCUGGUAGUCCACGCCGUAAACGAUGAGUGCUAAGUGUAAGGGGGUUUCCGCCCCUUAGUGCUGCAGCUAACGCAUUAAGCACUCCGCCUGGGGAGUACGGCCCGCAAGGCUGAAACUCAAAGGAAUUUGACGGGGACCCGCACAAGCGGUGGAGCAUGUGGUUUAAUUCGAAGCAACGCGAAGAACCUUACCAAAUCUUGACAUCCUUUGACCGCUCUAGAGAUAGAGUCUUCCCCUUCGGGGGACAAAGUGACAGGUGGUGCAUGGUUGUCGUCAGCUCGUGUCGUGAGAUGUUGGGUUAAGUCCCGCAACGAGCGCAACCCUUAAGCUUAGUUGCCAGCAUUAAGUUGGGCACUCUAAGUUGACUGCCGGUGACAAACCGGAGGAAGGUGGGGAUGACGUCAAAUCAUCAUGCCCCUUAUGAUUUGGGCUACACACGUGCUACAAUGGACAGUACAAAGGGCAGCGAAACCGCGAGGUCAAGCAAAUCCCAUAAAGCUGUUCUCAGUUCGGAUUGUAGUCUGCAACUCGACUACAUGAAGCUGGAAUCGCUAGUAAUUGUAGAUCAGCAUGCUACGGUGAAUACGUUCCCGGGUCUUGCACACACCGCC
Molecule: ribosomal RNA, 779 nt
Filed under: uncultured bacterium
Lineage: Bacteria
Description: bacterial SSU rRNA
Rfam family: Bacterial small subunit ribosomal RNA
Source: RNAcentral